UGCGUAGGUGGCCUUUUAAGUUGGAUGUGAAAUACCCGAGCUUAACUUGGGGGGUGCAUCUAAUACUGGAGGGCUAGAGUGCAGGAGAGGAAAGCGGAAUUCCUAGUGUAGCGGUGAAAUGCGUAGAUAUUAGGAGGAACACCAGUGGCGAAGGCGGCUUUCUGGACUGUAACUGACACUGAGGCACGAAAGCGUGGGGAGCAAACA
RNAcentral lists this ribosomal RNA (207 nucleotides) under uncultured Bacillota bacterium. RNAcentral describes it as "uncultured Firmicutes bacterium partial 16S ribosomal RNA". It matches the Rfam family "Bacterial small subunit ribosomal RNA", at positions 568 to 774 of the family's 1533-position model. Lineage: Bacteria; Bacillati; Bacillota. The record is from RNAcentral.